RNAcentral lists this ribosomal RNA (76 nucleotides) under Alloalcanivorax venustensis. Its description in RNAcentral is "Alcanivorax venustensis partial 16S ribosomal RNA". It matches the Rfam family "Bacterial small subunit ribosomal RNA", at positions 1457 to 1532 of the family's 1533-position model. Lineage: Bacteria; Pseudomonadati; Pseudomonadota; Gammaproteobacteria; Oceanospirillales; Alcanivoracaceae. The record is from RNAcentral.
CCACGGUGUGGUUCAUGACUGGGGUGAAGUCGUAACACGGUAGCCGUAGGGGAACCUGCGGCUGGAUCACCUCCUU